Molecule: ribosomal RNA, 250 nt
Filed under: uncultured archaeon
Lineage: Archaea
Description: partial 16S ribosomal RNA
Rfam family: Archaeal small subunit ribosomal RNA
Source: RNAcentral
UACCGGCGGCUCGAGUGGUGGCCACUAUUACUGGGCUUAAAGGGUCCGUAGCUUGAUAAUCAAGUCCCUUGAGAAAUCCGCCGGCUUAACUGGCGGGCGUUCAGGGGAAACUGGUUUUCUAGGGACCGGGAGAGGUGAGAGGUACUGCCGGGGUAGGAGUGAAAUCCUGUAAUCCCGGUGGGACCACCUAUAGCGAAGGCAUCUCACCAGAACGGGUCCGACAGUGAGGGACGAAAGCUGGGGGAGCAAA